GCACAAGCGGUGGAUGAUGUGGUUAAUUCGAUGCAACGCGAAAACCUUACCACCUUUGACAUGUACGGAAGCCUUUAGAGAUAGAGGCGUGCUCGAAAGAGAGCCGUAACACAGGUGCUGCAUGGCUGUCGUCAGCUCGUGUCGUGAGAUGUUGGGUUAAGUCCCGCAACGAGCGCAACCCUUAUCCCCAGUUGCCAUCAGGUAAAGCUGGGAACUCUGGGGAGACUGCCGGUGAUAAACCGGAGGAAGGCGGGGAUGACGUCAAGUCCUCAUGGCCCUUACAUCCCGGGCUACACACGUGCUACAAUGGCAGGUACAGAGGGCUGCGAAGCCGCGAGGUGGAGCGAAUCCCAGAAAACCUGUCUCAGUCCGGAUUGAAGUCUGCAACUCGACUUCAUGAAGGCGGAAUCGCUAGUAACCGCGAAUCAGCAGGUCCGCGGUCGAAUACGUUCCCGGGCCUU
Molecule: ribosomal RNA, 461 nt
Filed under: uncultured Latescibacterota bacterium
Lineage: Bacteria; Pseudomonadati; Candidatus Latescibacterota
Description: bacterial SSU rRNA
Rfam family: Bacterial small subunit ribosomal RNA
Source: RNAcentral